GACGAACGCUGGCGGCGUGCUUAACACAUGCAAGUCGAGCGGAAAGGCCCUUCGGGGUCCUCGAGCGGCGAACGGGUGAGUAACGCGUGAGUAACCUGCCCUAGGCUUUGGGAUAACCCCGGGAAACCGGGGCUAAUACCGGAUAUGACCUGGUGCCGCAUGGUGUUGGGUGGAAAGUUUUUUCGGCCUGGGAUGGGCUCGCGGCCUAUCAGCUUGUUGGUGGGGUGAUGGCCUACCAAGGCGAUGACGGGUAGCCGGCCUGAGAGGGCGACCGGCCACACUGGGACUGAGACACGGCCCAGACUCCUACGGGAGGCAGCAGUGGGGAAUAUUGCACAAUGGGCGGAAGCCUGAUGCAGCGACGCCGUGUGAGGGAUGAAGGCCUUCGGGUUGUAAACCUCUUUCAGCAGGGACGAAGCGUGAGUGACGGUACCUGCAGAAGAAGCGCCGGCCAACUACGUG
RNAcentral lists this ribosomal RNA (462 nucleotides) under uncultured bacterium. Its description in RNAcentral is "partial 16S ribosomal RNA". It matches the Rfam family "Bacterial small subunit ribosomal RNA", at positions 28 to 507 of the family's 1533-position model. The record is from RNAcentral.